UACGAAGGGGGCAAGCGUUGUUCGGAAUUAUUGGGCGUAAAGGGAGCGUAGGCGGUUCGGCAAGUCUUUAGUGAAAUCUCUGGGCUCAACUCAGAGUCUGCUGGAGAAACUGCCGGGCUGGAGUAUGGGAGAGGUGAGUGGAAUUCCCGGUGUAGAGGUGAAAUUCGUAGAUAUUCGCAAGAACACCAGUGGCGAAGGCGGCUCACUGGCCCGGUACUGACGCUGAGGUGCGAAAGCGUGGGGAGCAAACAGGG
RNAcentral lists this ribosomal RNA (254 nucleotides) under uncultured bacterium. RNAcentral describes it as "partial 16S ribosomal RNA". It matches the Rfam family "Bacterial small subunit ribosomal RNA", at positions 524 to 777 of the family's 1533-position model. The record is from RNAcentral.